GACGAACGCUGGCGGCGUGCCUAAUACAUGCAAGUCGAGCGAAUCAAUGGGAGCUUGCUCCUGUUGGUUAGCGGCGGACGGGUGAGUAACACGUGGGCAACCUGCCUGUAAGACUGGGAUAACACCGGGAAACCGGUGCUAAUACCGGAUAAUCCUUUUCCUCUCAUGAGGAAAAGCUGAAAGACGGUUUCGGCUGUCACUUACAGAUGGGCCCGCGGCGCAUUAGCUAGUUGGUGAGGGAACGGCUCACCAAGGCGACGAUGCGUAGCCGACCUGAGAGGGUGAUCGGCCACACUGGGACUGAGACACGGCCCAGACUCCUACGGGAGGCAGCAGUAGGGAAUCUUCCACAAUGGACGAAAGUCUGAUGGAGCAACGCCGCGUGAGCGAUGAAGGCCUUCGGGUCGUAAAGCUCUGUUGUUAGGGAAGAACAAGUACCGGAGUAACUGCCGGUACCUUGACGGUACCUAACCAGAAAGCCACGGCUAACUACGUGCCAGCAGCCGCCGCGG
This 512-nucleotide ribosomal RNA is filed under the name uncultured bacterium. RNAcentral describes it as "partial 16S ribosomal RNA". It matches the Rfam family "Bacterial small subunit ribosomal RNA", at positions 28 to 523 of the family's 1533-position model. The record is from RNAcentral.